This 496-nucleotide ribosomal RNA is filed under the name uncultured bacterium. RNAcentral describes it as "partial 16S ribosomal RNA". It matches the Rfam family "Bacterial small subunit ribosomal RNA", at positions 29 to 507 of the family's 1533-position model. The record is from RNAcentral.
ACGCACGCUGGCGGCGUGCCUCAUCCAUGCAAGUAGCACGCUGAAGAGAGGAGCUUGCUCUUCUUGGAUGAGUUGCGAACGGGUGAGUAACGCGUAGGUAACCUGCCUGGUAGCGGGGGAUAACUAUUGGAAACGAUAGCUAAUACCGCAUAAAAUUGAUUAUUGCUUGAUAAUUAAUUGAAAGAUGCAACUGCAUCACUACCAGAUGGACCUGCGUUGUAUUAGCUAGUUGGUGAGGUAACGGCUCACCAAGGCGACGAUACAUAGCCGACCUGAGAGGGUGAUCGGCCACACUGGGACUGAGACACGGCCCAGACUCCUACGGGAGGCAGCAGUAGGGAAUCUUCGGAAAUGGGGGGAACCCUGACCGAGCAACGCCGCGUGAGUGAAGAAGGUUUUCGGAUCGUAAAGCUCUGUUGUAAGAGAAGAACGGGUGUGAGAGUGGAAAGUUCACACUGUGACGGUAUCUUACCAGAAAGGGACGGCUAACUACGUG